GAUGAACGCUGGCGGCGUGCCUAAUACAUGCAAGUCGAGCGAACGGACGAGAAGCUUGCUUCUCUGAUGUUAGCGGCGGACGGGUGAGUAACACGUGGAUAACCUACCUAUAAGACUGGGAUAACUUCGGGAAACCGGAGCUAAUACCGGAUAAUAUUUUGAACCGCAUGGUUCAAAAGUGAAAGACGGUCUUGCUGUCACUUAUAGAUGGAUCCGCGCUGCAUUAGCUAGUUGGUAAGGUAACGGCUUACCAAGGCAACGAUGCAUAGCCGACCUGUGAGGGUGAUAGGCCACACUGGAACUGAGACACGGUCCAGACUCCUACGGGAGGCAGCAGUAGGGAAUCGUCCGCAAUGGGCGAAAGCCUGACGGAGCAACGCCGCGUGAGUGAUGAAGGUCUUCGGAUCGUAAAACUCUGUUAUUAGGGAAGAACAUAUGUGUAAGUAACUGUGCACAUCUUGACGGUACCUAAUCAGAAAGCCACGGCUAACUACGUG
This 497-nucleotide ribosomal RNA is filed under the name uncultured bacterium. RNAcentral's name for it is "partial 16S ribosomal RNA". It matches the Rfam family "Bacterial small subunit ribosomal RNA", at positions 28 to 507 of the family's 1533-position model. The record is from RNAcentral.